GAGGUUGUAGCUCAGUGGUAGAGCAUGUGCUUAGCAUGCAUAAGGUCGUGAGUUCAAUCCCCAGUACUCUUA
This 72-nucleotide transfer RNA is filed under the name Camelus bactrianus (Bactrian camel). It matches the Rfam family "tRNA". From Rfam's summary of the family: Transfer RNA (tRNA) molecules are approximately 80 nucleotides in length. Their secondary structure includes four short double-helical elements and three loops (D, anti-codon, and T loops). RNAcentral also lists the same sequence under 1 other name. Lineage: Eukaryota; Metazoa; Chordata; Mammalia; Artiodactyla; Camelidae. The record is from Rfam by way of RNAcentral.